This 274-nucleotide ribosomal RNA is filed under the name uncultured bacterium. RNAcentral's name for it is "partial 16S ribosomal RNA". It matches the Rfam family "Bacterial small subunit ribosomal RNA", at positions 523 to 796 of the family's 1533-position model. The record is from RNAcentral.
AUACGGAGGGUGCAAGCGUUAUCCGGAUUUAUUGGGUUUAAAGGGUGCGCAGGCGGACUUGUAAGUCAGUGGUGAAAUCCCGGGGCUCAACCUCGGAACUGCCAUUGAUACUGCAAGUCUUGAGUUUGGUUGAAGUGGGCGGAAUGUAGCAUGUAGCGGUGAAAUGCAUAGAUAUGCUACAGAACACCGAUCGCGAAGGCAGCUCACUAAACCAACACUGACGCUCAGGCACGAAAGCGUGGGGAGCGAACAGGAUUAGAAACCCUAGUAGUCC